Molecule: long non-coding RNA, 849 nt
Filed under: Haliotis rufescens (red abalone)
Lineage: Eukaryota; Metazoa; Mollusca; Gastropoda; Lepetellida; Haliotidae
Description: uncharacterized LOC125377546
Source: RNAcentral
CGGGACAAGCAAGUCUACCCAUAAUUCCCUGUAUGACCGAGGGCGCCAUUUUGGAACACAAAUGUAAACAAACACUUAAACCUCGUGUAAUCGAUGUACACCGUGAUGCUUGAUUGCGAUAUGCUUACCUCGUGUAUCAAUACAUUGUUCUCAAUCACCUCUAACACGGAAAUCCCGGUCGAAAUGCACCUGAGCCAUACACAACGAGGACGUCAAGUAUUUCGAAAACUCGAUUGGCAGCCGAAGGAAGGAAGAGCAGCUUGCAGAUGCCAGCAUGUUCAGGGUUUGUGGGGAGGUUCACAGACAUCCUCAGGGAGGAUACCAAGUAUUGAAAUGUCCGGAUGAAUAAAAGAGACAGUCGUCUGUGCAGCAUCAAUGCAAAGAAAGACCAUAGAAGAGCAACAAAACUGAAGUCCUGCUUGAGAUCCCUGGAUGAGUACUCCAGGUUGACAGUCUGGAAGGACGAGACAAGGGAGUCCUAAACAGAGGAUGCACCCCUUCAGAUAUCAGAGGUGAUUUGCAGACAGCGAUGACGAGGGUCCUGUUAUUUCAAUGGAGGCCGACCGAGAAGUUGUAUGCCAAAUGGUACUGGGACACACAAAGGCUGGUCUGGCUAAUGUGAGAAGACCAACCAAUGCCAAGCUGGAGUGGAAUUCUUCCAGGACAUUCAGGAAAUUCUUGUCUUGAGCAAUAUGGUAAACACUUGAAAGGAAUGAUAAAUGGGACUUAUUGUCUUUAAAUGUGGACCCAAACACCAAAUGGAAAGUUCACAAUUCUACUAACACAAUGCAGCAGAGAUAGUCUAACUGGUAUCCCCUCAUCCUGGUUCCUGUUCAUCCAUGGCAAUAU